Molecule: ribosomal RNA, 749 nt
Filed under: uncultured bacterium
Lineage: Bacteria
Description: bacterial SSU rRNA
Rfam family: Bacterial small subunit ribosomal RNA
Source: RNAcentral
AUGAACGCUGGCGGCGUGCCUAACACAUGCAAGUCGAACGAAGCACUUUGAUUUGAUUCUUCGGAUGAAAAUCAUUGUGACUGAGUGGCGGACGGGUGAGUAACGCGUGGGUAACCUGCCUCAUACAGGGGGAUAACAGUUAGAAAUGACUGCUAAUACCGCAUAAGACCACGGAGUCGCAUGACUCAGUGGGAAAAACUCCGGUGGUAUGAGAUGGACCCGCGUCUGAUUAGGUAGUUGGUGGGGUAACGGCCUACCAAGCCGACGAUCAGUAGCCGACCUGAGAGGGUGACCGGCCACAUUGGGACUGAGACACGGCCCAAACUCCUACGGGAGGCAGCAGUGGGGAAUAUUGCACAAUGGGGGAAACCCUGAUGCAGCGACGCCGCGUGAGCGAAGAAGUAUUUCGGUAUGUAAAGUUCUAUCAGCAGGGAAGAAAAUGACGGUACCUGACUAAGAAGCACCGGCUAAAUACGUGCCAGCAGCCGCGGUAAUACGUAUGGUGCAAGCGUUAUCCGGAUUUACUGGGUGUAAAGGGAGCGUAGACGGCUGCGUAAGUCUGAAGUGAAAGCCCGGGGCUCAACCCCGGGACUGCUUUGGAAACUAUGCAGCUAGAGUGUCGGAGAGGCAAGUGGAAUUCCCAGUGUAGCGGUGAAAUGCGUAGAUAUUAGGAAGAACACCAGUGGCGAAGGCGGCUUUCUGGACUGAAACUGACGCUGAGGCUCGAAGCGUGGGAGCAAACAGGAUUA